RNAcentral lists this ribosomal RNA (503 nucleotides) under uncultured bacterium. RNAcentral's name for it is "partial 16S ribosomal RNA". It matches the Rfam family "Bacterial small subunit ribosomal RNA", at positions 28 to 523 of the family's 1533-position model. The record is from RNAcentral.
GAUGAACGCUAGCGGCAGGCCUAACACAUGCAAGUCGAGGGGUAGCAGGAUUAAGCUUGCUUAAUUGCUGACGACCGGCGCACGGGUGCGUAACGCGUAUGCAACCUACCUUAUACUGGGGUAUAGCCCGGAGAAAUUCGGAUUAAUCCCCCAUAGUACUAAUGAAUCGCAUGGUUUAUUAGUUAAAGCAUUGCGGUAUAAGAUGGGCAUGCGUCCUAUUAGCUAGAUGGUGAGGUAACGGCUCACCAUGGCUACGAUAGGUAGGGGGCCUGAGAGGGUGGUCCCCCACACUUGUACUGGGACACGGACCAGACUCCUACGGGAGGCAGCAGUGAGGAAUAUUGGUCAAUGGACGCAAGCCUGAACCAGCCAUGCCGCGUGCAGGAAGAAUGCCCUAUGGGUUGUAAACUGCUUUUAUUUGGGAAUAAACCUCUUUACGUGUAGAGAGCUGAAGGUACCAAAUGAAUAAGCACCGGCUAACUCCGUGCCAGCAGCCGCGGUAA